UUGAACGCUGGCGGUAUGCUUAACACAUGCAAGUCGAACGGAAACGAUACUAGCUUGCUAGUAGGCGUCGAGUGGCGGACGGGUGAGUAACGCGUAGGAAUCUGCCUGAUAGUGGGGGAUAGCCCGAAGAAAUUCGGAUUAAUACCGCAUAAUCUAUUCGUAGUAAAGUGGGGGACUUUCGAGCCUCACGCUAUCAGAUGAGCCUGCGUAAGAUUAGCUUGUUGGUAGGGUAAAAGCCUACCAAGGCGACGAUCUUUAGCUGGUCUGAGAGGAUGAUCAGCCACAUCGGGACUGAGACACGGCCCGAACUCCUACGGGAGGCAGCAGUGGGGAAUAUUGGACAAUGGGGGCAACCCUGAUCCAGCAAUACCGCGUGUGUGAAGAAGGCCUGAGGGUUGUAAAGCACUUUCAAUUGUGAAGAAAAGUUAGCGGUUAAUAACCGUUAGCCUUGACGUUAACUUUAGAAGAAGCACCGGCUAACUCCGUGCCAGCAGCCGCGGUAAUACGGAGGGUGCAAGCGUUAAUCGGAAUUACUGGGCGUAAAGCGUGCGUAGGCGGUUUAUUAAGUCAGAUGUGAAAGCCCCGGGGCUUAACCUGGGAACUGCAUUUGAAACUGGUCAACUAGAGUAUGGUAGAGGAAAGUGGAAUUUCUGGUGUAGCGGUGAAAUGCGUAGAUAUCAGAAGGAACAUCAAUGGCGAAAGGCAGCUUUCUGGACCAAUACUGACGCUGAGGUACGAAAGCGUGGGUAGCAAACAGGAUUAGAUACCCUGGUAGUCCACGCCGUAAACGAUGAUAACUAGCCGUUGGGGGGAUUUACCCUUUAGUGGCGAAGCUAACGCGUUAAGUUAUCCGCCUGGGGAGUACGGCCGCAAGGUUAAAACUCAAAGGAAUUGACGGGGACCCGCACAAGCGGUGGAGCAUGUGGUUUAAUUCGAUGCAACGCGAAGAACCUUACCUGGUCUUGACAUCCUGCGAACUUUCUAGAAAUAGAUUGGUGCCUUCGGGAACGCAGUGACAGGUGCUGCAUGGCUGUCGUCAGCUCGUGUCGUGAGAUGUUGGGUUAAGUCCCGUAACGAGCGCAACCCCUAUCCUUAUUUGCCAGCACAUCAUGGUGGGAACUAUAAGGAGACUGCCGGUGAUAAACCGGAGGAAGGCGGGGACGACGUCAAGUCAUCAUGGCCCUUACGACCAGGGCUACACACGUGCUACAAUGGGAAGGACAAAGAGCCGCGAAGCCGCGAGGUGUAGCUAAUCUCAUAAACCUUUUCGUAGUCCGGAUUGGAGUCUGCAACUCGACUCCAUGAAGUCGGAAUCGCUAGUAAUCGUAGAUCAGAAUGCUACGGUGAAUACGUUCCCGGGUCUUGUACACACCGCC
Molecule: ribosomal RNA, 1376 nt
Filed under: uncultured bacterium
Lineage: Bacteria
Description: bacterial SSU rRNA
Rfam family: Bacterial small subunit ribosomal RNA
Source: RNAcentral